AUUUCCCGCUGGGAGUUGCAGUCCAAAGAAAGAGAGUGACAGACCCAGGCCAAACACCAGCACUUCCAGCCAGGGGACGCAGCUUCCGGAGCAUGAGAGAUAAAUGUCUGUUGCUGAAGCCACCUGGUCUGUGGUAUCUGUUUCAGCAGCUCCAGGAAACCAGUGCAGGUGGUCAGCCUGGGGUCCCUGUGCCAGCGACUCAGGAGGCCAGCACAGCGGACAUCCCCAGGGCAGGACCGAGUGGAGGUCCCGGGCACUCCCCUUCCAAGACCCCUCACACCUGAAACCACCCACCACCGCGCAGGGGGCCUGUGCUCGCCUGCCCCUUCUGACGGCACCGUGCCGCAGGCCAUAGGAAAGCGCUGACUGGAAGCAGACAGGGCUGGCCCAAAGGCCCGGGGCCACCCCACUAGCUGAGCUGGAAGCUGGAGGGUGAGAAAGACCCUCCCAGGAGUGGAGGCCCAGGGGCUGCACCCCAAAGCACCGGGCCCUAUGGCCUGGCCUGGGUCACCUCGGCAGGAACACAGACAUGCCAAGACCCUUCAGGCUGCCCCUCCCCCCUCCGCCCUCCCUCCAGGCCCACGUCCACCACCCUGGACCUCAGGGGAGGCCAGGCAGGAAGGCAGGAGGCAACAGGCUGCCUCAGGUACCUGUGUGCGAGGCUGACGUCAGGAGGGACCCAACUGCCCGGGAGACACAGAGAGACGGAGGGCAGAGGCCGCUGCUCGGGCAGCACAGAACCGAGCGGCCCUGGGCAUGGGGACACGAGCCCACGCCUGGUCCUCAGCCGGUCCACACCCCUCAGACGCCAGCCUCACCAACAGGGCAGUCAGCUUCCCAGACCAGGAAAAGGGGAGACAGACACACAGACAUGCUCCGCUCCCGAGCGUCUAAGAGAAGCAUCUGGGGCACCCCUGCCCUGGCAGCAGAGGCCCUGAGUGCGGGCCGAGCUCGCAGGAGGCCACAGUCAGCUCAAAGUGCGGGUGGAAGAUUCCACCCUGCCUGGCUCCGCUGGGAGAAAGUUUAGUGACUUCAGGGGCAGGUCUGCAGCUAUGUGGAAACCUGGCUUGUUCCCAGGGGCUGUGCGGAGCUGAGGUUCCUCUAAUUCUGCUUAAUAGUCCCGAGGGUCCACGCUAUUUGCUGCAGCUCCACUGUCCAGCUCUCACCCGCCGUCCCCACGAAACUGCCCGCCUUCGAGGCUCCCGUCCUAAAGCCCCAGCCAUCCGAGCACACCUUUGAAGGGCAGCGAAGGCGGCACGGCGGCCAGGCUCCUCCUGGAGGGUCCCCAGAGCCUGCCUGCCAGGCUGUGCUUCCCACGGACAGAAAUCCUGACUCCAGUCCACACCCUGAGCGUGUGCCUGGCCCUCCAGGAACGACCCAAGACGAACCCAGGAGGCCAGGGCCUCUGCUCCAUGCACAAGGCACAUCCGCCCUGGGGAGACCCCCCAGAGUGCCCCCCGAUCCCCGAGGCUGCCUCAGAGAGGAGAUGAGACCAAGAGAACCCCUCCUCGGAACACGGUGACCUGAGGGGGCUUCCUCGCAACGACACCAGGAUGACUGGCAGGGGGAAGGUUGAAGGCAAAGGGUUAACGGCCCUCAACAGAGCCCCGAAGAGUCUUGGGGAACAAAGGGACCCAGGGCCCUCCUGCGGGAGAGUCAGCUGCGUGAUGUGGAGGACAGUAGGCAGACCCACACCCGCUGGGCACGGCAGGACGGGCCAUCCGAGGGGGCUCAGAAAGGAGACCCCAUCCCCUCUGAGCUCAGAUCCCUCUCUCUGCGACCCCUUCAAGGGUCCUUGAAAAGUAAAGUGACCGCACGGAGCACAGCGCUGGGCAUACAGUAGGGGCUUAGCGAGGCUCGGGGGAAGAGGCGCCACGUGUGCCGUCCGAGGGGGCGGGUGGACGGACUGAGUCGCGGUGUGUCUCGAGUGGCGUCGCCGGGCAGGCAGGUAAAGCCACAAGAGGACAGAGGGGCCGUCGUUACCAGACGGGGCCCCAGAGGCAGGCGCGGAGAAGGCACACCAGCGGGGAUGCUGGCUUUCAAACCGGCUCUCACUGGUCACCCCAGACACCGGCCUCAGAGAGCAGCUGACCGCAGAGGCACUGCACCCCCAAGCCCUCGGGCACCUGGCCGGGGGGCGAGCCCGCCCCGGGGGCUGUGUCCUUGAGCAGGACACAUGGGGAGCCUGGCAGCCUGUGGGCCACAAAGACACCAAACUGAUGGACACUCUGGGAAAGAAGGUGGGGGGUUGGGCAGGGGCAGGCCGCCAUCGUUAGGGCCCCUCCAGCAGCAGCCCUGACCACUGCGCCCUCUCCACAGUCCCACCCACGUGACCACGCUCUUACCGUCCUCCUGCUGCGAGGACAGGACAUUUAGACCCGAGAGGUGCUCCCGGGCUCUGUCUAAAUCACACGGGCCAGCCCCUCGGCCCCCCAGGAGCCCUCCCCUCCCCCAAAGGUGCACCGACAGUGACAGGGACCGUGGCCAGCAGCAAGGUGGGAGGCCACGAGGCCCAGCCAGUGCUCCCCCUGUCCACGGUUUGCUGUCAGCCCGUCUGAAUAUCUGGACCCAGCAGGGCAGCUCAAGGCUGAAGGAUCUGAGGCCUCCCCCUUCACCUCCCUGCUCAUGGGCGGGCAGGGCAUUUGGGCAGACGCACUCCUGCUGGGGUCCCUCCAGCUCUGAGAUCGAGGCCCCUUCAUAGAGAUGACUUACACUCAGAAAGCAAGGCAGGACGGAGUUACCAAAAGCCUGCCGGCCCCACUCCCAAGGCGGGCCACGUGGUGGCAGAACAGAGCUGUUCUCAGCCACCUCCGAUGACCCACAGCCGCUGACCCUGUGACCGUGAGUGUGGUCAUGCUGUGACCCGAGGAGCACAGGCUCAGCUCUUUGAGGGUGUGGGCAGCUGGAUAAUGGCCCCUCAAAGAGGCCCACAUGCUAAUCCCUGGAAGCUUACACAACAAAAGGGACUUUGCAGGUGAGAUGGGAGAUUAGCAUGGAGUAUCCAGGUGGGUCCAACGUCAGCACACAGGCCUUACAAGUAAGAGACAGGAAGGAAGGAGGGCCCAAUGCAAUGGAAUACUACUCAGCCAUAAAAAAAUAAAAUAAUGCCAUUUACAGCAACGUGGAUGGACCUAGAGAUUAUCAUACUAAGUGAAGUAAGUCACAGAAAGACAAAUUCAUAUGGUAUCACUUACAUGCCGCUUCUAUGUAACAGAACUUAUACGUUCUGUUACAAAACAGAAACAGACUCACAGACACAGAAAACAAACUUAUGGUUACCAAAGGGGCGGGGGGGGGGGAUAAAUUAGGAGUUUGGGAUUAGCAGAUACACGCUCCCAUAUAGAAAAUAGGUAAAAAACAAGGACCGACUGUGUAGAACAGGGAACUAUAUUCACUAUCUCGUAAUAACCAAUAAUGGAAAA
Aethalodelphis obliquidens (Pacific white-sided dolphin) is the source of this 3422-nucleotide long non-coding RNA. RefSeq lists it as uncharacterized. The record is from RefSeq and is a predicted model, not a curated record. The transcript is spliced from 2 exons. NCBI's taxonomy places the organism in Eukaryota, Metazoa, Chordata, Mammalia, Artiodactyla, Delphinidae.